Molecule: long non-coding RNA, 311 nt
Filed under: Hordeum vulgare
Lineage: Eukaryota; Viridiplantae; Streptophyta; Magnoliopsida; Poales; Poaceae
Description: long non-coding RNA (HVUL_LNC004860)
Source: RNAcentral
GAAUUAACCAUGGGAAACCCGAGGCCAUGGACUUGACUUCGGUCACAAGGGACGACUUGAAUACGGCUAUGGCCGCCCUCAAGACGUCCUUGACGAACGAAGUCAAGACCAUGCUUAAAGAGUUAAUUGAGGGAUUUAAAAGUCCAUCCGAACCGGCGUUAGUGGUUAAACCCACCAUCACCGAUUCGGAGGCCAAUUCCUCUAAGGAAGCGGCUAAAGGUAUGCGACCUUCCUCAUCUCACGAAAAGGAUGGGACUGGAACCUAUGCCUCAGUUCCACCCUCAUGGUCUAUGGAGGAUCCGUUCCCACAC